GCAGAUUUCCAGAUGCUCAUCAGUCAUGGUGGAACGGUACUUGGAUUUAAUGAUCUUCAUGUGGGAAAAGGCUGACUCACAUAAAUAAGUGGAGCCAAAUAAUGCGGUCAAAAAGGUAGCACAUUUCCUGAUGUUGGGGUACUUGUCCUCUGGGAGUAAGUUCCAGAAUUGUCCAUGAGCUCUGGCCUUCAGCUGAAUGUCGCAACAACUCAGAGUGGUCGCACUCAGCCUUCUCCAGCUGUGCACGGAACAGCCGUCUUUGAAGAGAUCUGGCCCGAAUUGAGCAGGCGAUCUUUGUUGCCACAUCCAUUAUCUCUUUCAUGUUGAGCAUUUUUGCACAUAAUGCUUGUUGGUGUAUAAUACAGUGGUAAUUGAGAAAGUCUGGAAAAUCAUCAUCCUCCCUGCACUUGGUGAUAAAUCCAUUCGAGCGGCCAAACAUGGCGGGUGCGCCAUCUGUGGUUAUGGACACCAAUUUGCAGACUGGGAGGUGGGUUUUCUCAAUAACGUUUUUGAAA
Long non-coding RNA from Hippocampus comes (tiger tail seahorse), 515 nucleotides. RefSeq lists it as uncharacterized. The transcript is spliced from 2 exons. The record is from RefSeq and is a predicted model, not a curated record. Lineage: Eukaryota; Metazoa; Chordata; Actinopteri; Syngnathiformes; Syngnathidae.